RNAcentral lists this ribosomal RNA (252 nucleotides) under uncultured bacterium. RNAcentral describes it as "partial 16S ribosomal RNA". It matches the Rfam family "Bacterial small subunit ribosomal RNA", at positions 524 to 776 of the family's 1533-position model. The record is from RNAcentral.
UACGGGGGAGCAAGCGUUGUUCGGAUUCAUUGGGCGUAAAGGGUGCGUAGGUGGCGCUGUAAGUCGGGUGUGAAAUUUCGGAGCUUAACUCCGAAACUGCAUUCGAUACUGCGGUGCUUGAGGACUGGAGAGGAGACUGGAAUUCAUGGUGUAGCAGUGAAAUGCGUAGAGAUCAUGAGGAAGACCAGUGGCGAAGGCGGGUCUCUGGACAGUUCCUGACACUGAGGCACGAAGGCCAGGGGAGCAAACGGG